CCAUCACCGCCGACGCCUCGGCGGCGGGGGCCGAGGCCGCGGGUGGGUGCGCUGGGCUGGGCAUGGGCGGUGGGGCGCGGUGCGGUGCCGUGCGGUGAAGCUCAGCGCCGCUUUCGGGGCAUUUGUCCCGCGGCGGGAUGGGGCGCGGGAUGGGGCGCGGGAGCCUGUAACUGAAGCGCCCUCACAGGCGGUACGGCUGAGCGGAGCGAGCCCGGGCGGCAUUUUACGGAGAAUCACAGUAUCACAGAACACUCGGAGUUGGAAGGGACCCACAAGGAUCAUCGAGUCCAACUACUGGCCCUGCAGAGGACCAGGAGUCACACCAUGUGCCUGAGGGAAAUGCUGAACAUCAUGGAGAUCCAAGCCUUAAGACAUGCAAUCCAUUCCUGUGAGGCUGAAUCUUCUGGAUGCUACCUCUUUGGUUCCUAGAGUUGAGUCACAAAGCAACUAUCCCCAUAGUCAUAAUGUUGUUUAUUCUUACCUAUGUAAAAUACACCCAGUGAUCUCUCUUAUGAGGGCUGGUGAUACUAUAAACAGAAAAGUGUUUUUAGUUGCCAAUAUCCUGUUCAUGUACUUAUUCUUGCAUGGGGCUGAGGAUGAAUUAGACAAUUUAAUGUACACCAUCAGUGCAAUAAAAUAUUAAAAAAUCAAGAA
Pseudopipra pipra is the source of this 654-nucleotide long non-coding RNA. RefSeq lists it as uncharacterized. The record is from RefSeq and is a predicted model, not a curated record. The transcript has 2 exons. NCBI's taxonomy places the organism in Eukaryota, Metazoa, Chordata, Aves, Passeriformes, Pipridae.